GAGGGUAUAGCUUAGUGGUAAAGUGCAUGCUUAGCAUGCACAAGGUCCUAGGUUCAAUCCCCAGUACCUCCA
RNAcentral lists this transfer RNA (72 nucleotides) under Camelus bactrianus (Bactrian camel). It matches the Rfam family "tRNA". Rfam says of the family: Transfer RNA (tRNA) molecules are approximately 80 nucleotides in length. Their secondary structure includes four short double-helical elements and three loops (D, anti-codon, and T loops). Lineage: Eukaryota; Metazoa; Chordata; Mammalia; Artiodactyla; Camelidae. The record is from Rfam by way of RNAcentral. RNAcentral also lists the same sequence under 1 other name.